Molecule: long non-coding RNA, 2739 nt
Organism: Sapajus apella (tufted capuchin)
Lineage: Eukaryota; Metazoa; Chordata; Mammalia; Primates; Cebidae
Exons: 5
Source: RefSeq, a predicted model, not a curated record
UGCUCCAAAAUAGCCUGGUUAAUAUUUGCAGAGUGGUUCAGCUCCUUUCUCUCUCCUGCCUUUCAAAAAGAUGCUAUUCCUGUGAUUAAAACCAUUACAGUCCUUCAAAGGUUAUACAUGACUUUCAGGCUUCAGCCUCAAUAGAAGCAGCUAAAAUAGCUAAGCUUUAGACACAAGUCUAGCUGUCACAACCAAAUUAUAGUACACCAAUCAGACCUUCAUGCUAUUGUUCUAUAGAAUAUGAGGGGCCAUCCAAACCCAUCUGGGUCUCUACUCUGCAUAUCACCCUGAGGAAGUGAGCCACCACUGAGUCUAGAUGGCAGUGUGAUUUCGUGCCUAUUAAUUGGUACAACAUUGGUCAGUUUGAGAAGAUGCCAGAGGUCAAUUCCUGUUCUCAGUAGGCAUUGUUAAAUCAAUAAUGGAAUGCAAAGGUGUGAUGAAGAAUUAUCAGAUGCAGAUGAAGUGUCAAGAAGAUCUAUUAUUGGCAUUUGAUGAAAAAUUAUGAUGUUAUCCAUCCACCUUGCUCUUGGCAAAGGAAGCAUCAUUAAAAAGUCUGAUAUAAGACAAUACGUUCAUUAUUUUGUUGAGUUUAAAAUUUACAUUUAUGAAAUUUACAGUUUUCCAUUUUAGAAAUCUCAGCUUACCAAAUUCCAUAAAAAGCACUAACAAUGUGUGUUUUAACAGUUUUUCAACAUCAACAUAAAUUAUUUCUUUUAAUUGGGUAAGUUUCCUUUCCUUAUUUUUCCUCAAAAAUAAAAUCUGGACAGUUGUUUACAUGUGGGUAUGUAUGAAGGGACAGGAAUGGUAUAAGAUCUGAAUUCUGAUGUGUUGGCAUCAAAGGCUUAAAAAACAAUUUUUUAACCCAAUGAGGAGUCCUAGAACAGCUUCCUUGUGUCAAAGUUUUGGAAAUACAUAAAGAAUGGAGAAAAAAGACACCAUUGGUGCCUGACCCACAUCGCCUAAGUACUCAACAUUCCCAUGCAAGGAGAUGGUUUACUACUACAAGCACCUGCCACUCUCCCCAGAGUGUCUCCUGCAUGCAGGCUGGAAGCAUUGGAGAGUCCCCAGAAACAGCCGUCAAUCAAUGACUAACCAGAGUUGGUGAAUAAACACCUCAGCUCCCUCGCCCCUCAAGAGGGAUAAUAAUGAUAUGUGUUUUGUGAUGUUCACCUAAAGAUAGUUUUAAACCAUAACUGGCUAUAUUGGGUUUGGGUGGAUAUUUGUGAAUUCUUGCCUUAUUUUAAAUCUGAUGCCAGUAUUGGUUUCAAAUACCUGCUCAAACAAUUACUAGUUAUGUUAUCAUGUACAACACUUAAUUUUUCUGUGCAUCAGUGUCCCAGUUUGGAAAAUAUAGUUUGGUAAAUUAAAUUCAUAUAUGUAAAAAGAUUUCAAGGUCUCUGGCUUUAGUAAGCCAUACAUAAGUAUUGGUUACUAUCAUUAGUAUGAUAAUUACUAUUUCUAGUUUAUUUUGUUUAACUCAAGCUGCUCCUAUCCAUACUGUUCUACAAUUGAUACUGAUAUAAGGAAGGGACUUUUUCCAUUAUUUCCACAAGAACAUUCUCUUUAUUGUACUCAAAGAUGGAUAAACUAUAUUGUGCUAAAAUAUAGUGGUCAUGAAUAUCUAGAUUUUCAAUCCAAGUCUGGAUUUCUAGUUCUCAAUUCAAGAUUCCAAACGAAUAUCUAAUACAAUGACCAUAAUAAUUCAGUUUUCAUAUAAUUAUGUAAAAAAUUUCUAACCAUGCCUACAUUUCUGACAUUAUUCUUUGUAACUCCCCUUCAUACAUCCUAUGUGCACUCCAGAUAUUCUCUAGGUAUCCCUCCCCCUCAAUUUUAUACCAUUCCAGACAUUCUUUCUACAACGGAAAUUUUACUUAUUCUGUAAUACCUGAUUCAAAUGUUAACUAUCCUACUGAUCUUACUCUGUUCUUCUAAAAAAAAUUACCUUUCUCUGUAAAAUCAAAUUUCCAAGAACAAAUAAUCUUCUAUGUUAUGCUAUGACUAUAUAAGUCCCUGCAUUAAGGAUACAAGCAUUUGGGUUCAUAUAUACUUGAGGGUUGGGGCAGGAUUAACACUUGGCUUACUAGAUGUCCCUCAUAACAUUAUUCAUAGUAAACAUUAAAUAAAUCAUGUUAAAUAUAAAAUUGUGGGUGAAUGCAGAUUAAGAUAGACAGAAAGCAAAAGAUGAAUAUUCUGGUUUUAUUGUCAGAGAAUAUCUGAAUUGAAUACAUUUUCCCACUAAAUUAUUAAGAAACAGAAUUCUCAAGAGAUCCUAACUCGAAGCUUUAAAUAUAUAUAAUCAAUAGAUUCAUUAAAAAAAAGCAUAUGAGUCUAAGCAAAAGCCAUAUUAGAUCAUCUAACAUUGUAAAUUAACAGGUGCACUUUGUUAGGAAGUUAGAUAAAUGAACAAUAAAAUUUCUCUUUUCUACUCAAGUAAUUGAUAAAUAGGCACACACUUUAAGAAAAAGAGGUGGAAUCUGUUUUGGUUUUAUUUUCUUCUGUAACACUCUUUUUUAUCUAAACCUAAUCAUGUUGUGGAAUCUGUUCUUCACAUUUAUGUUUAAAUAACAUAAGAAAUAAGGCUUCUAGUAGUCCAGUUUUUAUGUAAUUUCUAGUCUGUACUUAUGUCACAAUCACUUGUGAGUUCAAAUCUUGAAAUACCUAAUCAGGAAUGCUCAAAUAGAGAAGACAUUUUGAGAUAAAUUACCUAUUUCAAAUAAAAAUUAGAUAUUUCCUUCUUCA